RNAcentral lists this ribosomal RNA (116 nucleotides) under Pteropus alecto (black flying fox). The record is from RNAcentral. Lineage: Eukaryota; Metazoa; Chordata; Mammalia; Chiroptera; Pteropodidae.
GUCUACAGCCAUGCCACCUUGAACAAGCCCGAUGUCUGAUCUCAGAAGCUAAGCAGGGUCGGGCCUAGUUAGUACUUGGAUGGGAGACCACAUAGGAAGACCAAGUGCUGUAGGCA